GGGCGAGUGCUGAAACUGGUAUACAGACUAGUCUCAAAAACUAGUGGUCGCAACGGCCGUGAGGGUUCGACUCCCUCCUCGCCCA
RNAcentral lists this transfer RNA (85 nucleotides) under Candidatus Roizmanbacteria bacterium CG_4_10_14_0_8_um_filter_36_36. Its description in RNAcentral is "tRNA-Leu". It matches the Rfam family "tRNA". Rfam says of the family: Transfer RNA (tRNA) molecules are approximately 80 nucleotides in length. Their secondary structure includes four short double-helical elements and three loops (D, anti-codon, and T loops). Lineage: Bacteria; Candidatus Roizmaniibacteriota. The record is from RNAcentral. RNAcentral also lists the same sequence under 5 other names.